GGUUGAUCCUGCCAGUAGUCAUAUGCUUGUCUCAAAGAUUAAGCCAUGCAUGUCUAAGUAUAAGCAAUAUACGGUGAAACUGCGAAUGGCUCAUUAAAUCAGUUAUCGUUUAUUUGAUAGUUCCGUUCUACAUGGAUAACCGUGGAAAAUCUAGAGCUAAUACAUGCGUAAAGCCCCGACUCACGGAGGGGUGUAUUUAUUAGAUAAAAAAUCAAUGCCCUCGGGCCUUUUGAUGAUUCAUAAUAACUUUUCGAAGCUCAUGGCCUUUGUGCUGGAGCUGGUUCAUUCAAAUU
RNAcentral lists this ribosomal RNA (293 nucleotides) under uncultured eukaryote. Its description in RNAcentral is "partial 18S ribosomal RNA". It matches the Rfam family "Eukaryotic small subunit ribosomal RNA", at positions 6 to 305 of the family's 1831-position model. The record is from RNAcentral.